AUGCCGAGGAAAGCAGCUCGCGGCGACGCCGCCGCCAGCAAGAAAGCAGCGCCCACCGCGACCGCCGCUAAAAAGAAAUCCGCGUCCACCGCCGGCAAGAAAGCCGUGACCCCCGUCAGCAAGAAAGCCGCGCCCGCCGCCGGCAACGGCAAGAAAGCAGCAGCGCCCGCGGCAAUCAAGCACUGGCUGCUGAAGACGGAGCCGGGGGAGUGGUCGUGGUCGGACCAGGCGGGCGCGCCGGGCGGCGUCGGGCCGUGGGACGGCGUCCGCAACCACCAGGCCAUGAACAGCCUCCGCGCGAUGCGCCGCGGCGACCGCUGCCUCUUCUACCACUCGGGCGCCGGCGCCGCGUCGCGCCGCGUGGUGGGCGUCGUCGAGGUCGCCAGGGAGUGGUACGAGGGCGGGGAGGGGGAGGCGACGGCCGGCGGCGCCGUGGACGUGCGGGCCGUCGGGGAGCUCCGGAGGCCCGUGUCGCUGGAGGAGAUCAAGAAGGCGGCCGCCGCGGGCGAGGUGGAGGGGCUGAAGGACUUCGCGCUCAUCCGCCAGGCCCGGCUGUCGGUGAUGCCCGUGGCGGUGGAGGUCUGGGACUGGAUUUGUGAGAUGGGGGGUGGCUUUGUGGAAGAUGGGAAGGUGGAAGAAGAUGAAGCAGAGGGUUGA
This 657-nucleotide ribosomal RNA is filed under the name Triticum aestivum (bread wheat). RNAcentral describes it as "partial small subunit ribosomal RNA". Lineage: Eukaryota; Viridiplantae; Streptophyta; Magnoliopsida; Poales; Poaceae. The record is from RNAcentral.